This is a long non-coding RNA of Triticum aestivum (bread wheat), 3107 nucleotides long. RefSeq lists it as uncharacterized. The transcript has 4 exons. Lineage: Eukaryota; Viridiplantae; Streptophyta; Magnoliopsida; Poales; Poaceae. The record is from RefSeq and is a predicted model, not a curated record.
ACGACGUUCUGAUCUCCUCAUCCACGCACCAAACAGCCCCCGUCGAUGGCGCUCGGCCCUGUCGCUCCCCCGCCCUGUCGCCGGUCGCGUCACUCCGCCGCCCCGUUGCAGGCCCUCCCCCGCCACCCUGUCACCGGCCCCGUCGCUCCCCCGCCCUGUCGCCGGCCACGUCGCUCUCCCGCCCCGUCGUCGGCCCUCCCCCGCCCCGUCGCCGGCCCUCCCCCUCGUCCACGGCUCGCCCCGUCGAGGUCCAGGUCCGCGAUAGAUCCGCCUACGCCGGCGUCUUCCACACCGCCUCCCUCGAUGCCGGAUACGGCCCUGGUCGCCGGAUGCCGCUUUUUGUUAGUAUUUCUUGCUGGGGCUGCAGCCGAGGGAGAUGCAUAGUGGACGGCGGCAGAGCGGUUCGGCAGAAGCGUGGUCGGAGGCGGGGUGGUGGUGUGAUGGCUGGGCGGCGCGUGCAUGUGUUGCUGUGUUGGGGCUGUGGUGGCUUGUGUGUGGUCUCUGCUAGGCAAUGAGAGAUUUAAAGUGAGAUGAUUAAGAGGUCCGGCACCUUGAGCUCGCAUCCGGCCGUCCCGUGCCGCUAGAUCCCUCUGGGUAGCGGCUUCCAGUUGCCUGGCACCGCCCGCUCCUCGACCUCACGCCCGUUCAGGGGCGCCUCGUGUCGUCGGGUGUUGAGAGCUGCAAGUACCUUAAAUAUGUCACCACAACCCUUCUCUGUUUCAUCCUCAUACUACAUCAUCAUACGUCGCCGUUGACUUCCUGCCGAACCCCCGGUUGGCAGGAAAUGACUGAACUCGUGAUGCUCUUUCUUCCAGCGAUUUCAUUUGCAGGUGAAUUUGUGUCUAUGCUCCGUGGCGUCGAUCUGUAAAUCUUCCGAUGCUAUUUUGUGCCAUAUGGGCAAACACUAAGUUCUGAGGAAGAGAUGUCAUAUGUGUACCAUAUGGACAAACACUCUACAUUCUAAAGGACGGGCAGAACGUGCAUCCCUGGAUUGUCUUACUUAACCUAGCAACAAAGAGAGGAGGUUGCAAAGAAGCACGAAGGGGAAUACAUGUCUACAUUUUUCCUGACUGAGGUAAUCCGUUGAUCUUAUCAUGUUAGUUUUCUUAUAUGUUACCACUCCCUUGUGUAGAUAAGUAUUUUGCUUCAGGUAUCAAGGAAAUUAAAUUUCCUGGAGGAAGUGCUUUCUUCAAUAUCAGAUUGCUAUGAAGGUUAGAGGUUAGAGGUUAGUUUAGAGGUUAGUUUCCUGGAUGAUAUGCUCCACACAUUUUGAGAGCUUAGAGGUUAGUUUCUAGCAGAGUUAGUGACGGAACUGAAAACUGUUUCAGUGGAGGUUGAGGAUAAAUCUUAUGCUGCCAGAUGUUUAGAAUUUGUGAUAAGAACCAAAAUAUCAAGGUUCAAAAAGUGGAUGCUUCGAGUAUGAUAGAUCCUAUGUUUCUGUGUUAAUCUAUUUCAAAUAUCUUUAAUCAGAGUCAAAGCAUGACAUGUUAUGUCUUGGAUCAUGAGUGAAGUCCAAUGUUGACAUACAUUUAGUGUUUGCUGAUGGUUCUAGGUAGAACUAAAUUAGACUAAUUAAUAAACAUGCUGAGUUUUGAAUGUUGAAUUCGAGUUAUAGAAGCAUCCAUAGACAUGAUACUGAGCUCUUUACAAUCAGCUCAUAUUCUGGUGAUUGUAGCAAGAAAGUCAGUUUGUAGGUGGAGCUGCGGCCACCAUUGAUGAUGGCUUCCAUCUGGCGUGUACAGGAAAAUUGUAUAGUGCACGAGUGCUUGGCUUUCGAUUUUUAUGGGCUUUUCGCCAAAGAUUCUUUUGUGUUAUAUGCCAAAGAUGGAACUGUCUUAUCAGAAGGUUGAUUUUUUUGUCUUUCAGAGUGUACAAAACAGUUUCUAACCUGAACUAUUUUGAUUUGGGAAACAUGCUCUUGGUGUACAAGUUUAAAAUGUAAGUAUGCAUACUCACAGUCGAUUAGUCUACUAUUUGGUCCUUAGAAAAACGGAAGAUAGAACAAUUGAUAAAAGUGUUAGCUGGAACUCUGUUGCCUUGAUGAUUAUCAUCGUUCUCAAUUAUCGUCAUUUUCAUUUCAGUGAGGCGGCUCACUUUCUGUCCAGUGGAAUGCCACCGCUGGAUCCCUUGUUCUACAUAAGAAAACAAUAAUUCAAUUAUGUCGGUGAUAAACAAUUAACACCUCCAACUAUCCAAGCCAAGCACCUUCAACUGUCCAACUUGCUAAAUGGAACACUCGGCCACUAGAUGUGAUCGACUACUUUUCCAUCGCUACAAAGUCGUAGACAUACAGAAUGUACAAUAGAUUCUAAAAAGCUAAGAAAAAGCAACUGUCAGUCUCAAACCAACCAACUGAACUUUAAUUCUUUGAACAAGGAUGUCCAAGUAGUAAUUUAACCUGGCAUUGCCCGAGUAGUAAUUCAGCCCGGGGGUGGAUAAUCUAGCUCAGAUAUGGUGCGUGUGGACUUGCUAUUUGAGAUAGAUAUUGGACGAGUCCCCUAGCAACUUCAGUUACCUCUGCUCAUUUUGACCGAUGGUGAAGGCAAUGGUAGAGCUAGACUGGCCUAGAGAUGUCCUGCCACCUUUGUUUUCUUCUGAAUUUUCAGUUGUAGAUUUUUUUAAUGCCCUUUGCAUUCCAAUCUCAAAUCUGUUGCAUGUUGGAUUAUGGCUAACAAUAUUCCUGCAAGAGGGCGGAAAUGUGAAUCCUAGGACUGAAGAAUGGCGCAGCGAAGCGCGCGUUAGAUUCUAGUGUUAUAUGGUGCACACACAAAUGCAAGAUCCGAAUUAGCUACACAUAUGGUUUCUUAUCUUGCUUAUGGAAUCUUGUCGGCUAAUAUGAUUUCAGAAUCAUGUUUAUCAAAGUGGUUAUUAUCCAAACUUCGCUUGGGUACUCUGUGUUGUCAAUCAACACCUUUAAUCCUUCUCUGUUUGUGACUCUUGAUAAUGCUACAUAUAAUUGCCCAUGGAAGAAGACUUGCUUAGUUAGCUUAAAAAUGACCUAUUUAACCUAGUAUAGCUCUAAAAUGACCAAUACUUAGCAUAUUUUCCUCCAAAAUGACUUAAUAUGCUUAGCUAACUCUAAAAUGACAUAAUAUGCUUAAGAAAUG